This 624-nucleotide ribosomal RNA is filed under the name Halopenitus persicus. RNAcentral describes it as "bacterial SSU rRNA". It matches the Rfam family "Archaeal small subunit ribosomal RNA", at positions 1 to 626 of the family's 1478-position model. The record is from RNAcentral. Lineage: Archaea; Methanobacteriati; Methanobacteriota; Halobacteria; Halobacteriales; Haloferacaceae.
AUUCCGGUUGAUCCUGCCGGAGGCCAUUGCUAUCAGGGUCCGAUUUAGCCAUGCUAGUCGCACGAGUUCACACUCGUGGCAUAUAGCUCCGUAACACGUGGCCAAACUACCCUUCGGAGACGCAUAACCUCGGGAAACUGAGGCUAAUUCGUCACACGGCUUUCAACCUGGAAUGAUGAAAGCCUCAAACGCUCCGGCGCCGAAGGAUGUGGCUGCGGCCGAUUAGGUAGACGGUGGGGUAACGGCCCACCGUGCCGAUAAUCGGUACGGGUUGUGAGAGCAAGAACCCGGAGACGGAAUCUGAGACAAGAUUCCGGGCCCUACGGGGCGCAGCAGGCGCGAAACCUUUACACUGCACGACAGUGCGAUAAGGGGACCCUGAGUGCACAGGCAUAGUGCCUGUGCUUUUCUGGACCGUAGGGAGGUUGAGGAACAAGAGCUGGGCAAGACCGGUGCCAGCCGCCGCGGUAAUACCGGCAGCUCGAGUGAUGGCCGAUCUUAUUGGGCCUAAAGCGUCCGUAGCUGGCCAGGCAAGUCCGUCGGGAAAUCCACGUGCUCAACAUGUGGGCGACCGGCGGAAACUGCCCGGCUUGGGACCGGAAGGCGCGACGGGUACGUCCAGGG